GUCCUUUUUAUAAAUUUUCUUCUUAAAAAUCUUAUUAUGGUAAGGAUAAUGUAUUUGUUCCCUUCAGGUUUCUGCCACUGCAGCUGACGUUGAGACAACUCUCAGUCUUCCUGCAAGUCCUCGCCUGAUACCUGUUUCAAGUGCAACAAGGCAAGUCACAAUUAAGGGUUGGAUGAUCACCUUUAAGGGCUCUGAGGGCAUCACACCAACAUUUGAAAUUGGACUUGCUGCUAUGUUUGCAACCUACUUCAUUUUCAGCCUUCAGUAUCAAGAUGAGACAGCCUGCCCUCUGGAAUUCAUUCAGAGGCACUUCAUUGAUAUAAAUCAAGAGAGAGGAACAAAUGCCAAAAUCAUCAGACAAGAUUGUCUCUAAGAAGAAAGGUGUGAUCGUCCAGAAGUCGUCUUCUGCAGUUAAAUACACACGUGGCCAUGCUACUGAAGAAUCUCCUUGACUUUUUAAUGGAACUUCAUAUAGAUCGUGACAGCACUGGAAUAAUGCUGCAGAGAGGAACAGCGGCUACUAAAGUGAUGAUCGUCUCUUCUGGAUCCACAAGAACUAAGAUGUAAAAACACAAACCUACCUCACAGGACAAUUUUAAGAGGUAACCUGCAAGUCUAGCUUGCAGUGGCACAUGUGCCUACCCUACGGUUUCAUCCUAAAUGUUUUUAUGCAUGUUAUUGAUACAUCCUGACAAAAUGUUCUACUGUACUAUAAUAGUUUCAAAAUGGCCUUAGGUAUGUUUUCAAAAAUACUUUUUUAUGCAAAACUAUAGGUUAUGCCCUUCACAUUUGGUUAGGAUUAGGGGCAGUCUCUGAUGAGCAAUUUAAGAACGUACGUUUAUUGCCAUAGUCUAAAGCAAGAAACUACUGUUUCUGUUUACUACUAGAAAGCUUUUUCAGCAUUGUCCAACAGGAUUUAUUUUCUUUCCUUUUUUGUAUUCAUGUUGACAUUGACAUUUCUCUUUGAAAUAAAGGUGUUUGAUUUGGAAGUUUUUGUUGCUUAUUUUGCAUAAUAUUCACAAUAAUGCAUAUCUUAAGCAGUUGUCUUUAGCCCUGGGAAUUCAUUGGGCAAGUUCAUGGGAGACUGAUAUUUUAAAUAUCAAUGAAGAAUUUUUAGAGACUAAAUUUAUGUUAUUUAAAAAAUGCUGCAUAUUUCUGUGAUUAUUUGGAAAUUACAAUAAUAAUAUUACAAAUAUAUUAGGUUGUUACUUUAAACCUAAACAAUAUUAUUUUAGUUUCUAAAUAAAUCACAGAAAAAUGCAUUUAUUUUUUACUGUAUUAGACUGUGAAAUCAUUUAACAGUGUGACUACAGAAGUAUUCUGUAUUUCUGGUUUACAGACUACUACCGUAAAUUAAUUUUACAUAUGAAUACUGUAAAAAUAACGGUAUACUGCUGGCGUCUCUGCUGCCAGCUCUUUACUGUAAAUUAUAUAAAUACAGAACAAUACAGUUUUUCUGGUUUACAGACUACUACCGUAAAGUCAUUUUACGUAUAAAUACCGUAAAAAUAACAGUAUACUGCUGGCGUCUCUGCUGCCAGCUCUUUACUGUUAUUUUACAGGGAAAUU
Long non-coding RNA from Paramisgurnus dabryanus, 1569 nucleotides. RefSeq lists it as uncharacterized. Lineage: Eukaryota; Metazoa; Chordata; Actinopteri; Cypriniformes; Cobitidae. The record is from RefSeq and is a predicted model, not a curated record.